CAUAGAUUAUUUUGCACUUCAUUUCUGAAGUUUAUAAAAAAAGAGGAGAUUCCUACCUCUUAAUAAAGUAUACAGAUCUAAUUUCUGAUUAGGGAUACAGUUUCCUCCAUUGAAACAACAGAUUAACAGUAACUCUUGUAGGUUGUGUCUAAUGUCCUCCCUGUGUUGGCGAUGACCCAGGCAAUUAGCAUUCCAGGUGAUAAAGAAGCAUUUCCAUAGUGGAAUGUCUCGCUGCGGAGGAGCGGGGUCACUCUGAGCGUGAUCAUAAGAUUAUCCUCAGAAAUGAAGGAUCAAUUGCAGUUUCUAUUAUGCUAGAGUCAAAGUUCUCGAAUUUACUGUAGAGUAUGACUCAGACAACAAACCAUUCCAAGAGACAGUUAAACCUAUGGUAGAUGGUGGAACAGAAGGUUUCGAAGGUUAUGCUAGAGUCAUUAUGCCAAGGAUAACACCUUGUUUUGAGCGCAACAUAUGGAUUUUCUCUCCCUAUAUAAAUUUUCCAUUAUGUACCUUCGCCAAGACUUAGAGUACUGCUGCUCAUUGCAUUGAGUAUGCUCGUUUCAUCAAAUGGGACAAGAACAUAUGCAGUGGAUUUAUUCAGAGGUACAACAAACGUUUUCUAUUUUUUUGAUCUUCAAUUUAUAUCACUCAACUAAUGGACCUAAGAUCAUAUAGAUCGCAUCUGCAAUGUUGAGCCACGACUGGAGGUGCAGUGGUGGGGUUCGCCGUGGUCGGUCAGUCCCUGGCAAGAUGUCAACACUGGCGAU
Molecule: long non-coding RNA, 764 nt
Organism: Lolium rigidum
Lineage: Eukaryota; Viridiplantae; Streptophyta; Magnoliopsida; Poales; Poaceae
Exons: 6
Source: RefSeq, a predicted model, not a curated record